GACGAACGCUGGCGGCGUGCCUAAUACAUGCAAGUCGAACGAACCGCGACUAGGUGCUUGCACUUGGUCAAGGUGAGUGGCGAACGGGUGAGUAACACGUGGGUACCCUACCUCAUCGUGGGGGAUAACAGUCGGAAACGACUGCUAAUACCGCAUAGGACAUAGGAUCACAUGAUCCAGUGAGGAAAGGUGGCGCAAGCUAUCGCUAAGAGCUGGACCCGCGGUGCAUUAGCUAGUUGGUAGGGUAAAGGCCUACCAAGGCGAUGAUGCAUAGCCGACCUGAGAGGGUGAUCGGCCACAUUGGGACUGAGACACGGCCCAAACUCCUACGGGAGGCAGCAGUAGGGAAUCUUCCGCAAUGGACGCAAGUCUGACGGAGCAACGCCGCGGGAGUGAAGAAGGUCUUCGGAUCGUAAAGCUCUGUUGUUAGAGAAGAACAGCGCAUAGAGUAACUGUGAUGCGUGUGACGGUAUCUAACCAGAAAGCCACGGCUAACUACGUG
Molecule: ribosomal RNA, 502 nt
Filed under: uncultured bacterium
Lineage: Bacteria
Description: partial 16S ribosomal RNA
Rfam family: Bacterial small subunit ribosomal RNA
Source: RNAcentral